UUUAGUUCAGUUGGGAAGGGGGCAUUGUAAGUAUUUAAUAAAGGGUAACCAUUAUCUUCUUUUUUAUUAUCAACUCUGUUUUAGAAAUAAACUGAGGAGCAGAGAGACUCAGUAGCCUAUCUAGUGUCAUAAAAUAGUAGCUGUGAGAACAGGAUUUAAACUCAUAUUUGAGUGAGCUUAAAUCCAUGGUCUUAGCCAAUCUCUAGGACUGUCUUAGAUGUAGCUUUGGAAGCCUGCUGAGAAAAUUAUUUCUUUCAAUACAGAAUUUCACUCCUUGGUCCAGGCAAAUAAGGGAAUUUUUGGAAGAAACUCAGGGGUCUGCAAUCACCUAUUUCUGUGUCUUGAAUUAGGGCACUAGAGCUGGGUGAAGAGGCAGAGGUGUGCAUAUGGAGGGGGAGGGACUAUGACAGUUUGAGGGAACCGUUUUGUGAAAAUCCUCGCUGGAAGUACCUGGACUUUUGCACCUUCUCUGUACCCCCUGUUCCCAAUCAAGUUUGACUUUUACAGUUAAAUAUCUGAUGAGGAUCAUCUGUGUGCAAUCGACUCAGCAAGCCACUCAAACAUGUCCUGAGUCUUCACUUACACUUGCUGAACAGUUCCUUCCCUAGAACUCCAAAUGAGCUAGGCAGGGGUCUUUCUCCGGAUUCCAGAGCACCCAUCCUCCACCUUAAUUGGCAUGCACACAGGGAUGGAUGAUAUUAUCUCAAGGUUUUCUAAGAGACAUAAAGUGUUUUCUCCGAAAUUGUCUCAAGCAAAUUAACCUCAAUUUUUUGAAAAACAGGCAUUAGAUAAAACCAAAUUAAAUAAAAUGGGAUGUUGAAAUCCUCAAAUGGUAGGACUCUGCCUUUAAAGUGCCUGAGAAGCCAACAAAACCAUGUAUCUGUCCUGUGAAGAUAAAAAUUGAUUAAACCUGG
Molecule: non-coding RNA, 914 nt
Organism: Ictidomys tridecemlineatus (thirteen-lined ground squirrel)
Lineage: Eukaryota; Metazoa; Chordata; Mammalia; Rodentia; Sciuridae
Source: RefSeq, a predicted model, not a curated record